ACAUUUUAAGGAUAAGAGGUUUACCAGCUUUCCUUCUACUCUGUGCUGCGACUAACACAUUUUGUUUAAAACAGAUUUUAAACACAGAGUAGCAAUAUCAGUUUCUACUAUUCUAAGAAGAAAGAGUUCCAGACAUUCAAGAAGAACCAUAUCUGCUACUAAAAUUCAUCCUUAUCCUGUGAAAACUAGCAAACAACAGAUUCCACUUACUGGACAGACCACAAAGAUACUGCCUGUAAUUCCUGAACAAGAGCAUUGUCAUGCGGAUCAACUCUAGAUUUAGAAGGCCUUGUGCUCCAGUAAUUGUUUCAGGAAGUCCACAUGUAAGGAAAUAAGUCUGGAAAGAAAUGUGCACUAAGAGGUAUCUCUUCCUGAAAGUACUUGUAAUGUCUAGAAACAGAACAGAUGCUACUUGAAUAAGUAAUAUAGACAAGGUUAUGCUGCUUGAACAGAUGAUAUUACUGUGUGUGGUAAUUUUUUAGGUUCAAAGCUUAAGGAGGCUCCUUCUUUACCUUUAUUUAAAUUGGAUGGAGUUUUAUAUUGAAAACUCAAUAUUAUGUCAUGCUAUCUUUUUAUUGUGUUAAAAAUAAUUGAUGUACUAAAGAGCAGUUUGACUUUUUUGCUUCAUGUGGAACCAUGAAGAUGAAAUUGUACGUUGAGAGCAGAGCUAAAGAAUAAAUUUUUCAACGGCGUUGCUGACA
This 701-nucleotide long non-coding RNA is filed under the name Manacus vitellinus (golden-collared manakin). RNAcentral's name for it is "lncRNA (ENSMVIG00005008138.1)". The record is from RNAcentral. Lineage: Eukaryota; Metazoa; Chordata; Aves; Passeriformes; Pipridae.